AAACGUAGGAGGCGAGCGUUAUCCGGAUUUACUGGGUGUAAAGCGCGUGCAGGCGGUUCUGCAAGUGGGACGUGAAGGCGCCCGGCUCAACCGGGCGAGGACGUACCGAACUGCGGGACUAGAGGCAGGGAGAGGCGUGUGGAAUUCCGGGUGUAGUGGUGAAAUGCGUAGAGAUCCGGAGGAACACCAGUGGCGAAGGCGACACGCUGGGCCUGGCCCGACGCUCAGACGCGAAAGCAU
Molecule: ribosomal RNA, 240 nt
Filed under: uncultured bacterium
Lineage: Bacteria
Description: partial 16S ribosomal RNA
Rfam family: Bacterial small subunit ribosomal RNA
Source: RNAcentral